CUUGGCCAUCUCUUGACAUGCGGCACUGGUAGUAGGCCAAGUUAGUUGAAGGACUUGACAGGCUGCACUGGUAGUCAGCCGAGCUAGUUGAUGGACUUGGUCAUCCCUUGACAGGCCGCACUGUGUCAGCCGAGCUGGCCGAGGGACUUGGCUGGUGGUCUGCGUCCCUCAUUUUAGCUGGUCAGACGUCUUGGCUGGCGGGCAGUGUGACUGGUAGUCGGCUAAGUUUUCAUUGAAAUAUGCUUGCAAUUUUAACCUUUUCUUCAAUUCUGCAAAAAAUUGUAAAGGUUCAAAAUUUAGAUUAUAGAUAUUUAGAUAGUAUAUUUCCAGCACUCAUUUGCAUAUCAAAUUGAAAACACUCUUCCAUAUCAAUUAAUUCAAAUUCAUUAAUUCAUCCAAAACAUGGAAAAUACAAGACUAAUUUAAGAUCUAUACUUACAGGAAUCAGUUUUUGAUUGAAAGAUUUAUUGAAUUUUGAAAUGAAAAAAAAAAUUACUUUACCUUAAACAAGUAAUAUUUUGAAGAAUUUCAUGUACUCCAGGUCAGGACAGAUUCAGCUCAUGGAAACAUCAUGUACCAAUAUUCUGCUUUAUAAAAAAAAAAGAAAAUUAAUGUUAAAUUACUCAUUUCAUUGCAUUAAUUAACGUUGCAGCUAGAUCAUGUUAUGAUCAUGCUGAUGCGUAUAAGGCUUCACAAUAUUUUAACAGUUCAGGGAAUCUAUAAACAAUUGUGGGAAUAAAUAUGACAAAGAAUAACAUAUUUGAUUAAUAUACUAAAUGCUGAAAAAUAUUAUGCGUUUCAAAUACUUUCAAUUUGUUUACUUCAGUCUUUGUCAUUCGACAUACCAAUCAAAACAAACAAGAAAUCUAAGAUUCACACGCCUAGAAUUUUGUUCAUUCCCAAUAUUUCUUCUUUUUGGAAUGUUAUUCCAGAGGUACUAAGUAUACUUUACCAAAAUCAAUAAAAUGUUAGCAUAAAUAUCGCCUUACCAACUGGUUUUAUCUCCUUUUUUUUAUCAACACUUUCAACAUCCAAACAUUCAAAUCGUCCAUGGAAAAAUCCGCGCUCUGUUAUUGACCAAUCAUAGAACUCAAAAACGUCACGUGAUCGAAAAAAAUAAAUAAAUAAUUCAUAAUUAAUUUAUUUUAAAUGCAAAUAAACCUAAUUGUGUAAUUUUAAACUUAAAUUAAAAAUAUAAAUACCAGUUGGUGUUAAAUUUUGAAUUUAUCUUAGUAUCAACAAAACGGACAUCGGAGGCCGCCAUAUUUUUUGUUGCCGCCAUUUUGAAUUUAAUAUUUGUUUAUUUGUGAAAAUAACUAUUAUAACUGGGUUAUUUAAUUAUGCAAACAAUAAAAUCUACAUGUACUAGUCAUCUGCUUAAAUCUUAAUAUAACUGGCAGUCUUUAUUCACAACAUCGUAAUAUCUGUUCAACAUGAACAUGCACAUACUCUAUGCUGUUGUUUAUCUUUUUAGCCACCCAUAUUACGACUGAUUUUCUUCAGAUUUCAAACAACCUGUGUAGAAUUGUACCAUUCAGAGAUUGUGUAAUACCCAAGCUGAAAUAUUUACGAUGUGUUGGCCACAAAGGUCACCUAGUACAAACACCUGUCUCACAGAAAACAA
Molecule: long non-coding RNA, 1624 nt
Organism: Saccostrea cuccullata (small rock oyster)
Lineage: Eukaryota; Metazoa; Mollusca; Bivalvia; Ostreida; Ostreidae
Exons: 2
Source: RefSeq, a predicted model, not a curated record